GAGAGAAACCGUUGGCGGAUUCAAACGUCUGUGCGCGAGAGAGGAGCCGACGCUGAGGAACGACAAACAUCAUUUCCAGACGGAUUUUCCAUCAUUAAAGUUAUGAGCCAUUGGAGAACCACACAACUGCAGUGAAAACUGUAAUAGUAAGCAGUAGCAGUUGCACUUCAAGAGCUCUGUCAAUUGUGCUAAAUGUCUCCAUUGUCCUGGAAGAGGAGGUGAUGCUUCACAACUUUGUAAAUGUAUUUAUUGUACUCUUUGGAUUAUCGUAUGCACUCAACAUGGAGUACAACAAGGAUUUACGGUAAAAGAUCGACCCGAUUUGGUGUUUUUCUGCAGGUGAGAGAGGCAAACGAAAACGGAGAAAAUAGCCUGGAUUAAGUUGAGAUACUCAUUUCACCAUCUGAUUGGUUUCGGCCAAUCAGCUCGAGUCGAUGUGGCCCGGUAAUGAGGUGUGCUGAGCGAAUGAGCUGUGGUGGCGUGAGAUGCUUAUGCCGGUGCUGAACGAGAACUGAUAGCCCACCCACCCCCCUCGCUUUCCUCCUCCCCGCAACCCAUUCUGCACGUGUGUUGGUGCGUGUAGAGAGGCUCCAGUUUCUCUCAAGCCCAUUUACUGCCAUUUUACAGCUCAUUUGGGUCCAAGUGAGCAGCAUGCCAGCACCUUCUCCCAGCUCUCUGUGACCCACUUUCAGCUUAGGCGGACCAAUGGAAUCAGACCCUCAAAAGAAGGCCAGAUGCAUCUGACCACGUCUGUUUUUUAAGCUGUCAAGUUGUGAAGACAACAACAAAAAAUCAAGGUAAAUACCACUGAACAGAACAUUUUUAUUUCCAAUCGUGCUGUAAUUGUCAAAUUAUGCAAAACGUAUGAAAAUAUGUUGUGCAUACAAGACAUAACAAGGCAAAGCAGUCGACCAUUUCAUUCCCGAAACGUUUAAAAUGUCAUCUCCACCAAAGAAUGUUAUCAAACACAAUUACUUAAUUUGAGAUCCUAUGACAAAUUGCUUGUAAUGUCUCUCAUUUGUAAUCGCCUGGAUAAAAACAUCUGUUUAAUGAAUAAAUGUAAAUGAGAUGUGGUGGAAAUGGUGGGGAAAAAAUGCGACCGACAAAAUGUCCCAUUCUUAAUCUCUUCAAGCUUUUUUCCCAUACAUUUCCCUCUAUUUCCAUCAUCCACUUGUUUAUAGAUCUGUUUCUGUGUGUCCACUGCCUGAGAUCUUUCAUCAAAGCAGGCCCGAUAUUACCGUUGUCUUUCUUUCCAGCUUUUCUUGCCUUCCUCCCGUUCCCCGAGCCUUGGCACACACUCCUCACAGGCUGAUUUAAGGGGGAGCAUUACGGUGCAGGAGAUGAAAUUAUUUCAUUCCUCUCCUCUACUGCUCUCUUCCCGCUCUUGAUGGGGUCCCCUGCUGCUUCAGAAGCACGUGGGGAGAGACGUGUCCUGCGUAAGAAGCAGCUCGCAUCUAACAUGCGUUUGACCCUUCGUUCCUGCGGCAGAGGGAGCGGCUGCUUUCAGCAUCAAAUGAUUAGUGAUCUGGGGCCCUAGAGGCGUGGAACUGAGCUCGGUAUACGCUCAAUUUUCUGCCAUCAGUGAACAGUUAAUGUUAGCCUGAGUAACAACACACACAAUGGGACAAGGCAACCUCAUAUUCUCAGGGCGGGCAUUUUUAACAGGCGACUUUGUUGCAAGUACUGAAAUACGUUAUCAAAACUGGCCCCAAGAGUUUGUCAGAACUGAUAAUAAACUGUUUUGUUUUCCUUAUUGGUUAAACAAAAUGGCAUUGGCAACAUUAUAUUCCUUAAUUGAAUGAAAAAGACAGAGCGUGCUAUUCACAAACAAUGUGGGAACAUUUUUACAGAGGAAGCAUGUUUGUGUUUAAAUAUAUUCUUAAUUUAGGACCAGCUCAAACUACACAUUUAAAUAACACAAUUUUAAGAUAUUGUUUCCAAGGCCACUAAGAGUAUUUUAACUCAAAAAGUCUACUUGCACUAGGAAGUGCAUAAAAUUAUUGUAAUCUAAAUAUUUAAAACAAGAAAUUACAAUAACCAAACUAAAAUUCAACAUUAGCAGCUUACUUUUAACGCCAUUGUUUAGAUCAUCCGCACAUUUUGCUUUAGUGUUUAAUGAGUUGUUAACUGGAGAGUUGUCAGGGAAUUGUUGAUUAUAGAGCCGCUGCAGUUGGAUCAGACCAACUGAAUCGAAUGAGUCGUUCAGUCCAAUUUUUGAACUUAUUUAACAAGUUCAUUGAAAGGAAUUAACUCAAGGAAUGAUUCGUUCAUAAAUCUGACAUCACGCUACGGAGUCUCAAAUUUACGGAGCCCUGCACAUGACAUGCAAGAAAAAAUAAAUAACUCAUGGGCACAUUUUAUUAAUUUGUUCACUCGAUUUACUAGGCUGUGCGCACGAUUUACUAAUUCGUUCCCUCAUUUUAAUAAAUUGUGCGCUCGAUUUAUUAAUUCGUUCACUCGAUUUACUUGAUCGUGCAUGCUUUAAUAAGUCGUUGCCUCGUUUUAAAUAAAUGGUGCGCUUGAUAUAAUAAUUUGUGCCCUCGUUCUAGGUAAAUUGUGCGCACAAAAUAAUAAUUAAUUGUAGCCUACUUCCUGUCCGUGUACACAUUUUCAUAAACAUGUUGCUGCUAUGUUAUGUCAUGUUACAAUGGUUUUAUUUUGAGUUGGGAAUGAGUUAUAGAGACAUUCUCAAAAGCCUUGCAGCAUUGCAUGGAAUCAUUUUUCACAAAGAAGGCGGAUACGACAGCCUACUUAAGAUGAAUAAAGCACCAGCACCUGUUAGGAGGUAUUGAUUAAAACGUGUGCACGAUUUACCUAGAAUGAGGGCAUGGAUUAUUAUAUCGAGGCACGAUUUACUUAAAACGAGGGAACGACUUAUUAAAGCGUGCACACGAUCUAGUAAAUUGAGGGAACGAAUUAAUAAAUCGUGCUCACAAUUUAUUAUUUUUUUUCUUGCAUGUCACGUGCAGGGCUCCAUACAAAUUGGGUUUCUUUUUUAAGUUUUUAAUGAAGAUCAAAACAAAUUUGUGUUUAUUCCUGUUGAGAAUCGACAGGAGAUUUUGUGUGAGAAUGUUUUCUAAGUACUUACUAACAUUUAGCUACUUCUAGGACAUUUUAAGUUGUCUGAUGUAAAAACGCUUAAAGUUGUUUAAAGUACCAAAAUAACAAACCAAUUUCUACACAUAUUUUUCUUGUCAUUAACGCUAUCUACUGCUAAAGGCAUAAUGGUCCAAGUGGAAAGACAAUAUUCUUACAUUUGCGCAUUUUUCAAUUAGCUUUUAGAAUGUCUCUUACAGUAUUGAAUAUCAAAAUGAGUGAGAUUUGAUAACGUUGACGUAGAAACUUUUCCCACAACUGUUUUUUACAGAAAAUAUCAUAUAGCUUUGAAUAAAGCAUACAAGUCUUUAUGGAGCUUUUUUACAGCUCAAGAGCCCUUGGUUCCCAUAAUAUAAAAUAGCAUGGUAGACCUUUUGUAAUAUUUCUUCAUUUGUGUUCCACAGAAAGAAAGUAACAGGUUUGGAUGGGCAUGAGGUGAGUAGGCUAAAUGAUGACAGAAUUGUAUUUUUGGUUGAACUAUCGCUCAAUUCUUGGGUUCAACAUUCAUUUUCGAAAUCUAGAGAAUAAUAGAGUUGUCCCAUUACAUAAUAUAUGAAGAGUAUGAGCAGUGGGACAUUGAAAUUUCUUUCUGAAAGCAAUGUCUUGUACCACAGUUCCAUGUCUUUCAAUCCAUCAACCCCUCAUUCCUCAUUAAAUCCUACUUGUAAAUGUUUGAGUAGUGUGAAGGGGCUCUCCUCUGGGUGAUAGAGCUUGUUCUCUCAUAGAUUCUGGUCUGCUCAGAUCACAAAAGUCUCCCAGUGAAACUCCCAUCAGCGUUUGUGUCUCCCUUUCUCAGUAUCUCUCUCUCUAUCUCUCUCUUACACAAACAAAUGCAUGUUCCUCAUGGCUGACUCCAUCAUUAUUCUGUGGAAGGGCCAUAUUAAAGAUGCAUCUCCACGCUCGAGACUCAAAGGGAGCGAUCUGACCCUGGCAAUAGCUGCUGAAUUAUGGAGACCACCAAUGAAGGUGUUUGCCUUUGAUCUGAUUCAGACUGUCUCAUGCACGUUUUCUCUGUGCUUUUCUCUCAGGUAGGACUGACAGACGUAUGCAAGUCACUCUUCAAAGUACAGUGAUAAAACAACGACAUAAUUGUAUGAUAUUAUGAUAAUUUUAUCAUGUCACUGCACUAUCCACACUACUUUGUAGUGAUUUAAAGUGAUUGCCAUGAUCAUCACACUUCACCUCCUCAUUUUACACCAUUUUGAGUGACAGAGGUUCAGAUGGGUCGUAUCUGUAUAUUUAAUGGUCUCAGAAGGGAAAGCGAGUUUCAAAAUGGGUGUCAUUUGUCACAUAUUAAUAAUAUAGUGAGGUUGUGUGAUAGGCUGGCUAGAGUAACCUCUCUUUCUUUCCUUAUAAUCUUUCCACCCGAUUUCCGCUCUUUUUCUCUGACGAUCUUACAGCCCAGUCUAAAAUGACACAUCAUGCUAAGCAAUAAUGACCCGUAUUUUGGCUUUUUGGCCAUUUAGGGAAAUUGCUCCUAUCCUGUUUGAUUCCCAGCUGCGUCAUUGUCGCAGGGUCAGAUGCAGUGUGUGUGUGUGUGUAUGUGUGUGAAUUUCGAGAAGAAAAUGAGAUAUUCUUAACGGUAAUCAGUUUAAAUAGAGAAAAACAGUGUAAUUUUACAGGUCUCACACUGUGCUCAGAUUUGCAAAAUGUGAAAGAUUUUAAUAUGAACAUUUGUUCUGACAACAGCUUUUUAAAAAAAGGGUGAAAAAUAAUGUUUUUUGUUCCUAUGUUAUUUACAUACAGCAAUCAUAAAUGGCUAUGAAUAACCUAAAUAUGAUUUUCAUUUACAGUAAACAGUUUACAGUAGGCUAACUUGUUUUAAAGGGGUCAUGAACUGCCUUUGCUUUUUAUUUUGUACUGUUCUCUGAGGUCCACUUAUAAUGUAAUCAAGAUUUUUACAUCAAAAAACAUAAUUUAGAAGUAAUAAGCUAUUUUCUGUCCCAUUUUAACCCUCCCUCAUCAGAACGCUCUGUUUGAAUAUGCAGGGCAGAUUGUAGACUCAGAAGUAAACACCCACUACUAUGAUUAGCUAAUAGUUGUGUAUGUUUGACAGCAUACAAUCCUCAUAGAUGGACGCUGGUGUGAUUAAGGUCAAAAAUGCAUAAAUAACUCAAUACAUAUCAAACGAUCUGUAAGAGGAGACAAAGCAAUGGUGACCACGUAAUGAAAAUAGUUACUCACACUUGUGUGUUGUGACAUUACUGUCAGAUCCAAUAUAUUCAGCACAGCAUCGUCUUUUAGUUUCAAUCUUUUUAAAAAUCCCACAUUGAAUUUUGCCUUGUUUGCAAACAAAUCUGCGGUAAAAUGAGGUGAAAAAAUGACCAAUGUCUGGAUCUUCAUUAAAAAUAAAGUUCAUCCACUCUUUCCUAAUGUUGGGAUCAGAAGGAAGGCUACGCAAACAUUGUUUUUCCACAACUUGGCACUGCACAGCAUCUUCUUGUCUUCAGAGCGAUCUUUAUCAUUUGGUUUCUAUAUAGACCUGCGUUCGCCUCUCUUGUAAACACUACAUGCGUGAAAUGGUGGGUGGGGCUAAACAAGCAGUGAUGUAGAAGCAGGCAUUGAUCAUUUUCUGCGGAGGUGGUGCUUAGACGAAAGACGUAGUAUUAAAUGUAUUAAAAAUAUACUCAAAAUUCAAGUAGUAUGUUUAUAAUACAUUUGUAUUCCCACCAUGCUUAUUUUAAGUGCAUUAAAAAUAUAUUGAAUUGCAUUUUAAUGUAUUUAUAAAAAAGUAUACUAGAAAUACUUUGGUAAUAAAUAUAUGCUUAGUUACAUUUUAAAGUAAUAUGCUAAACACAAGCACACUAUUAGUAUAUGCCUAAAAAGUAUAGUAGAAAUACUGUUGAUAAAUAUAUUUUUAGUUAUACUUUUAAGGAAUAUACUAAACUUAAGCAUACUUUUAGUGACGUUUUAGUGUAUUUACAGAAAACAUACUUAUGUUACCCUUACUUAAAGUAUAUUUUAUGUGUAAUUUGUGUAAGAACAUACUAUGAAAUUAAUUAGAAAAUAUAGCGGUAAGUUCUUAUUUUUACCAGCUUCUCCAACCGUGUAUGGCGUCUGGCUUUGGAACCUCACUGUGACUUCAGGUAAGAUUUGUAUUUAAUUAACGUUAUUUGUCUGUGCCAGUCGUGUUUUUGACACAUGCAUUGGCAGAAAAAAAAAAAGUCAUUAUAACAUGUACAACAUUAUUGUCAUGGUGCACACAUAGCGGGGAGGAACAAGGAGCACGGAGACAUAGAAUAAACUUCAAAUAAACAGGCUUUAAUCCGAACUCAAACAGGGCAAGACAAGGCAGGGCUGAGACACACAGGAACACAAGGAACGUAAUGGGUAGACCAGACGAAAACCGACUAAACAGGCAGGAACUAAAUACACAGGAUAAUUAACUAUAAACAGCUGGAACAUAAUCUAAACAAUCAAACUAAAUUAAGACAGGAACAGGAUGGACCAAAUAUGGGCAUAGAGGAGAAAACACACAAGACAGGACCGACCUGCGCCAUAACGGUACCACUGGGGGGUGGGCACUGUCCAGGACAAAACAGACAGUUUGGGGUGCCAUGGCGGAGCUGGGAGCACUGGAAACCAUGGCAGUGCAGGGAGCACAGGAGGCCAUUUACAUUUAUUCAGGGAGCUCUGGAGGCCAUGGCAGGUGAUCUUCGUGGCCUCGGCCCAGCCACUACAGCCGGAACCCUACUGCCCCCAAUUCAAAAUUCCUUGGGGGAACUUACGGGCUCCAGGGCCCUCCGUCGGCUAGACUCAGGAACAGAAGCCCUCUUGGGCUUAACUCAGUAACAGGAACCCUCCGUGGGCUAAAAUCAGGAACAGGGCUAUCCACAGGAGCCCACUCUGGGCUAGGCUCGGAAUAUGAGGCCUCUCUAGGCAGGACAUGAGACCAACAGCCCUCCUUGGGCUGGAGGUGGAGUCAGGGGCCCUCUCAGGGUUUACUCAGGAACCGCUUCCAUUUCUGCAACAGGAGAGGCAUGGCCUCCGCGGUCAUAACUAGAGGAGCCGCCUGCCCCAGACGAGUCUCCAUGGACAAGACAAGGUUGAAUAAAACUGUUCCUGUGAACACAAGACUUUAAAAUGACUUGACUCUGGUCAGGGGCUGGAGCCUGCACUGGACUCUUGGUCAUAUAUGGGCAUAGAGGGGAAAACACACUAGAGAGGACUGACAAUUACAGCAUUAUUUUAUUUGCAAAAUGAAGUUGUGUAUUUAUUUCUGAUUUUCUGAACAAUUUGGCUUCAUUGUAAUGAGGUUAAUGAUCUUUGAAAAACCAUGAUUAUGAACAUAGUUACUUUGUCUUGAGCUGAUUAGCCAACUGUGGUAGUGGUCGUUGAUAGGUGUUUAUAUUUAUUCAAGCUUGACAACCAUGUCACCUUUAUUUUCUUAUAUAUAUUUCUCAUUACAGAUAAGAAUAAAGAUUAAAUUGUAAGAAGGGUUGCUUAUAAAAGAGCAUACAGUACAUCUGAAAGUGCUGAGGCUGGGAAGGUUUUUGACUAUAUUACCAACCAGAUCAGCUGCUACAGAAGACAAACUGAAAUCUGAAUGCAGAGACGAGCAAAGGAAUAAGGUGAAGAGCAUGCACUCUUAGCAUUACCACAACAGACACAUUCAUGCAAGAUACCCUAGGUUUGUCAUGCUUCACGGGGAGUCCAGGAAGCACGGAAACGAGGAAUUUCACAAAACGAGUCUUUAAUAAUUAAAUGGGUUACACAGAGCACAAGGAAGACAUUCAAGGACCAACAAACAUGAACUGAAUGGACUGGGGCUUUUAAACUAAGGAUAACGAGGAAACUAAGGAGACACACCUGGGAUCAAAUCAACGAUCGAGAACAGGAAAAUAACCAUAUAAGGAAACUCAGGAAGGACAGGAGAAAAACAGAAUACGGAGUCCAGAACCCUGACAAGAGUGCUGUACAGUGAAGACAAACAAGAAUAUAAGAAUGGACACUCAUAUGUCAAGCUUGAGGAUAUUGUCAAAAAGAUCCUGUGAUAAAGCCGUCUUCAAAUACUACAGUGUCUGAAUUGCAAGCCCUUAGUUGCAGAAAAUGCAAGUCGUACCUCGUCCCACCGGCUCCCCCUUGGUCAGUCGUCACUCUACUUCUGCCACAGACUUGCAAACUGUCAUUUAUUAUAAUGUUUUUUGUAUAAUGUAUUAAA
Molecule: long non-coding RNA, 8257 nt
Organism: Onychostoma macrolepis
Lineage: Eukaryota; Metazoa; Chordata; Actinopteri; Cypriniformes; Cyprinidae
Exons: 10
Source: RefSeq, a predicted model, not a curated record